CCUACGGGAGGCAGCAGUGAGGAAUAUUGGUCAAUGGGCGCGAGCCUGAACCAGCCAAGUAGCGUGAAGGAUGACUGCCCUACGGGUUGUAAACUUCUUUUAUAAAGGAACAAAGUCAGGCACGUGUGCCUUUCCGAAUGUACUUUAAGAAAAAGGAUCGGCUAACUCCGUGCCAGCAGCCGCGGUAAUACGGAGGUCCCGAGCGUUAUUCGGAUUCAAUGGGUGUAAAGGGUGCGUAGACUGGUUGUUAAGUCAGUUGUGAAAGUCUGCGGCUCAACCGUAAAAUUGCAAUUGAUACUGGCAGCCUUGAGUACAGUAGGGGUAGGCGGAAUUCGCGGUGUAGCAGUGAAAUGCGUAGAUAUCGCGAAGAACUCCGGUGGCGAAGGCAGGCUCCUAAACUGCCACUGACAUUGAUGCUCGAAGGUGAGGGUAUCAAACGGGAUUAGAUACCCUUGUAGUC
RNAcentral lists this ribosomal RNA (460 nucleotides) under uncultured bacterium. RNAcentral describes it as "partial 16S ribosomal RNA". It matches the Rfam family "Bacterial small subunit ribosomal RNA", at positions 338 to 795 of the family's 1533-position model. The record is from RNAcentral.